This 78-nucleotide ribosomal RNA is filed under the name Clostridioides difficile. Lineage: Bacteria; Bacillati; Bacillota; Clostridia; Peptostreptococcales; Peptostreptococcaceae. The record is from RNAcentral.
UGUGGUUACAAUAGCAGAGAGGAUACACCUGUUCCCAUUCCGAACACAGAAGUUAAGCUCUCUAGCGCUGAUGGUACU